AGUAGUAGUAGAUAAAGUAUUGCAAUUGUGUAGUGUUCCAUUGAAGUCUGAAGUGUGUAUUGAAUUGUGUGAAUUGUCUCCAAGAGCAAAAAGAGUAGUCCCUUUUUAUAAUGCAGAAGACAAGUAAGGAAAAAGGUAAGAAUAGUUUUCAAUCAAUUACAUAGGAUUUCCCUUUGGUUAAGGGAUUUUAUUUCAAACGGGCAUGGGAUAGUUAAGGAAAGAUAAACACUUAAAAAUCCUUCCAAAGUAUCAUAAUACUGGUAAAUACACAGAGUUUAUUCAAGGCACGAAUCAUAAAGUACAUGAUUUGUGAGAAAUAAGGCAAGUAGAUGAAUCAAGCAGCUAGUAAAUUGAAAGCUUUGUUCGAAUGAACUUAGUCAAAAAAAGGGUGGAAAAGUUCAAUUGGAAAAAUCAGUAACAAAUCAAUCGAGCUUUAUUAAAAGGAAAUUGGAAUCAAUUACAAGUUGGCAGAACCCUUUUGAAAGAAAACCCUCAUAUAUAACCACACAAGUGUCUAACAAGAAAGAAAAGAUUGGCAUAGACAGUUUCAAAAUCAUAAGCAAAGGAAAGUUCCAGCUUAGUUUAUGGACUUAGCAUGAGUUUGAGAAAGCCCAGGGUCCCAACUAGAACCCUAGUCCCAACACAGAACCCAAAACUCGCGAAAAAUCCCAAACCCGAGGGUUUCUAUUCGAGUAGGGUACAAAAAUAAGAAGGCAAAUCAUUGAAACGGACUCAAGGGCUCUUUCAGAGUGCACAGAUACAAUAGCAAUCUCGAAGCAACAGAGUGAAAAAUCAUAAAGAACAUGUUUAAGAAAAGCUCAGACUCAAGAAAGUUCAGGAGAGAAAAGAGGUGACAUAGAUAUUAAGCAACAAUAGAUUGAACAGUUUUAGGACUCAAACAGAGGUCCAGUAAAGUCAAACAAGAAGCUUAGUAAGAAAAUAGUAAAGGAACACAUAGUAUAGACAUUUAAAAGCAUGUUGUAGGAACUAGCAGAAGAGAUAACAGAGCACGGGUAGAAGAAAAUGCAUAAUAAUGGCAAACCAUAAGAACAUUAGAGAAGACAUGCGAGUGAAGAAAAAAACGCAUAAAAACAAGGCAUAUACAUAUAGAUUCACACAAAGAAAAAGAAGAAGAAGAAACAGAAACCGCUUUAAGAUUUGAAAACCCAUAAUUGAACAAACUAAUUUUGAAAAGAGAAACUUGGGGAAAAGCUUUGAAAGAUCGAGUAUAACACAGAUCUAGAAAAUAAAGAAAGAAAGAACCUCAAACAGCUUUUAAGGUUUCUCGGAAACCCUAGAAAUGAGAAGUCUUAGAAAGGAUAUGGCCUGGAGUAAAUCUGAGCGAUAUCUAAGCUCUUGAGCCUCCAAUAUGUCUGACAGAGCCAGAGAAGCCACAUGAACACAAAUCGGCAAAGGAUCUGAACAGGCAUCAUUGAGGUUGAACCACGAAAGCCUUGAACAACCAUGAUUUGGGGUGAAGGGAAGUGAGCACAGGAUGUCCAUGGCCUGAGAAGCUAUUGACUCCAGCGACAACUGGUCAGAGAAGAUGACAAAGGCGGCUAUGGUUUUGAGUGUUAGAGAGUGUUUGAGACAAGGGGAGGGUUUAGAGGCAUCUACA
RNAcentral lists this long non-coding RNA (1618 nucleotides) under Nicotiana benthamiana. RNAcentral describes it as "long non-coding RNA (NBEN_LNC030199)". Lineage: Eukaryota; Viridiplantae; Streptophyta; Magnoliopsida; Solanales; Solanaceae. The record is from RNAcentral.